This is a non-coding RNA of Echinostoma caproni, 45 nucleotides long. The record is from Rfam. Lineage: Eukaryota; Metazoa; Platyhelminthes; Trematoda; Plagiorchiida; Echinostomatidae.
GCACUGCUGAAGAGUCCCAAAGAGGACGGAACAGCUGUUCAGUGU